This is a long non-coding RNA of Cyanistes caeruleus (blue tit), 1995 nucleotides long. NCBI's taxonomy places the organism in Eukaryota, Metazoa, Chordata, Aves, Passeriformes, Paridae. The record is from Ensembl.
AAUCAGGAAUAAAAGAAUAGGUUGCACCUUGAGUUCUGCAUGCAGUUUUGGGCCCCUUAUUUUAAAAAGGACAUUGAGGUGCUGGAGCCUGUCCAGUGAAGGGCACCAAGGCCUGUGAGAGGUUUAGAAAACUUGUCUUAUUAGGAGUGGCUGAGGGAGUGGGGGCUGUUUGGUCUCCAGGAGCUCAGGAGGGACCUCCUUGCUGUGUACAGCUCCCUGGCAGGAGGCUGUAAUGAGAUGGGGCCGGUCUCUUCUGCAGUGUCUGCGGUGAGAGGACCAGAGGAAAUGGCUUUAAACUGAGGUGGGACAUUCAGAUUAAACAUUAGAAACGUAUUUUUCCCUGUUCCGGAGGUCAGGCAUCGGAGAGGCUCCAGGGAGGUGGUGGGGUCCCCACCCUGGAGAUGCUCUACAGGCAUCUAGACCUGGGGCUGGGUGAAGAUGUGGUUUAGUGGCUUAGCGGUACAGUGGCAGGGGGUGAUGGUUGCACCGGAUGAUCUGAAAGGUCCGUUCCAACCUCGGCGACUCUACGACUGUAACAACGCUAAAAAUCGCCGUGAACAAUAAAAGGGGGAAAUGAGGAAAACGUGAGGGGGGCCCGGCGGCGCCCCCGGUCCUNGGGCCUUGGGCGCACGGAGCGGCCGGAGGUGCGGAGCCCGCACUGCCUUCGGCGGCCUCGCGGGGUCCGGCUCCGAGGCCUCUUCCUACAAUUGUUGUUCCUGUUGGGAGCCCCGAUAGGCCUCCGCAGCUGUGGCUGUGCGGGAGGGCUGCUCAGAGCCUGCUUGCUUUGCGGACUGCCCCACAGACAGCUAACGCAGCGUGAUCUCUCUGUUCUGUAUGAAAAGAAAAGUUUUGACAUUGUUUUUUCUUUUUCCCUGCAAAUCCUUGGACUGCUACCGGCACAGCGACUAGGAUGUAUCCGGUUUUGGUGUUCUUUAAAUUUUUUGCAUUUUAAUUUCUGGAGAGAAGUUGGCAGCUUCCCUCUACCUGGAGGAUGAGGAGAAGCCGGUGUGCCCUUCCCUCCUGACUGCCUCAGCCCUCUCCUCCUCCGUUCCUUGCACUGAGUCUGGCUCACAACUCUGGAUGCCUUGUACUGGUUUGUUUUAAGAACCUUUCAGAAUUUUUAUUUGUUGUCUCUCAUUUUUGUUGGCUUUGUCUUCUACCAUUUUGGUCGGUUCAGUCAGCUGGGCACUGGGACAAAUAUCAGGCUUCUCAAAAUAACUGAUGGAAAGUGACCUUGCCCCUCCAGCCCUGCUGUUGGUUCCGCUCCAGCCUUACCAUGAAGUGCUCUUCUGGAGACACCAGGAGCUGAUUGAGAACUACUUGCUGCUCAAAGGGAUGUUUUUUCUACAUUCCCCAUACUACUCAUAGUUUAUUUGCCUUUUAGGUGUUAGUUUACUGGUAGCUUGGUGAGUGGCUCAGCUCAUGGAUGGGUCAGCUGGUCCUGGCAUAAAACAGGGGGAAGGGCUGUGGUGAUGCUGGGAGCAGAGGGGGAAUGGGACCUCCCCAUCAGCAGUGGCCAGCUCUGGGGUUGGCUCAUCUGCCCUGGGGAAUCUUACUGAUAAUUAUUUGGCCUUACUAAAAUCAUGUUGGUUUUGUUUGAUCUGCAGCAGUUUUCUUAUGUGCACAUUAAAUGGAUGUUACAUAUGCUUUCUCACUAAGUUGGGAUUCUUUUAACAUGUGCGGUUGCAGCCAGGAAAUAGCUGAAGGUUUUUUUUUCCUCCUCUUUUCCUCAUUAGGAGCUUGCAAAAGCAGUCACCUUAAAUUCUUGGUGUGUACAAACAGGGCAGCAAGAUGCAGCUGAGGGCUUAAUGUAGUGCAAUGAAAUGGUGAGGGCCAUAAUAGAAUAAGGAUUGAGUUCAUGGCUCCUGUUUGUUUCACAAAAUUGGAAAUGUAGGGGUUUGUACAUUGGUUUGCAUGGGGAUAGGUGAUGCUUUGCUCUCUGGAGCUGGAAUAGUGUGAAUACCUAAAUUGUGCUUUAUUUAUGGAUUAUACUUC